AUGCUCAUUUUGCACCACAGAUACUAAUAUUGUACAGAGAAGAUUAGCGUGGCUCCUAGGCAAGGAUGAUAUGCAGAUUCAUGAAAUAUUUCAUAUUUAA
Molecule: small nuclear RNA, 100 nt
Organism: Colobus angolensis palliatus
Lineage: Eukaryota; Metazoa; Chordata; Mammalia; Primates; Cercopithecidae
Source: Ensembl